UCAGCCUCUAGGAUCAGAUCUAGGAUCAGCACCUAGGAUCAGAUCUAGGAUCAGAUCUAGGAUCAGCCCCUAGGAUCAGAUCUAGGAUCAGAUCUAGGAUCAGAUCUAGGAUCAGCCCCUAUCCUAACAACCAUCAUUGGGGAAAAAUACAAACUCCCCUAAAAUCCCUAUCGAGGGGCAACGUCACCUUAUUCCAAAUGAAACCCACCAAAUCCAUAUUUUAGAAAAGACAAGGCAUCUUUAUUCAACAAUCUCUCCCCUCCUCAAACAAUAUCUCAGCACAAUAUCUACUCUUUUCAUAUAAAAACAACAUUAUGUACACAUUUUAAUAUCUACACUCAUUUUACAUUAUACCACAAACGCUAUAUAUAAAGCUGUGUCCCAAAAUGGCACCCUAUUCCCUAUAUAGUGCACUACUUUGACCAUAUGGGAACAAUCCUAAAGUAGUGUACUAUGUAGGGAAUAGGGUGCCAACUGGGACUCAGAUGUCUUUUCAGUUCCAUGAUGACAGUCAGGCAGUGGAAAGGAUCAGUGGGUCAUGGAGGUUUUCCUUGGUUGGUCACUGAGGAGAAACUCUGGGCACUGUCCUGUAUAUGAAUAAAUCCAGCUGACAGUCAGACUGGCUAGAGAGUCUGGAUCCGAAAUGGCAUCCUAAACCCUAUAUAGUGCAAUACUUCUGACCAGGCCCCAUAAGGGUAGUUUGGGAAUGGGCCCAGAGGGGUAGUUGGGGUACGAGAACAGGAGAGGUCGUCGGGGUAUGGGCCCAGAGGGGUAGUCAGGGAGCGGGGCCAGAGGGGUAGUCAGGGUACGGGCCCAGAGGGGUAGUCAGGGUACGGGCCCAGAGGGGUAGUCAGGGUACGGGCCCAGAGGGGUAGUCAGGGUACGGGCCCAGAGGGGUAGUCAGGGUGCGGGCCCAGAGGGGUAGUCAGGGUGCGGGCCCAGAGGGGUAGUCAGGGUAGGGGUAGUCAGGGUGCGGGCCCAGAGGGGUCUGAUAAAGUAGUGCACUAUAUUGGGAAUAGGGUGCCAUUUGGGAUGCAGUGGCAGUGUCUCUCCAGUCACAUAGACUGGUCCCAGACCUGUAGUAAGGUCAGACCAUCAUGCUAGCCAGAGGGGUUGGCUGAAGACAAAACAGAUCUGGGAACAGUGUUUAUGACUCUCCAGUCAGUAAUCUGUACUCAGCCUCAUCUGGCCUUAUACACAUUCUACACAUCCAGCAGUAGUCUGGGUGGUUCAGGAACUAUACAUCCAGCAGUAGUCUGAGUGGUUACAGUAACUAUACAUCCAGCAGUAGUCUGGGUGGUUACAGUAACUACACAUCCAGCAGUAGUCUGGGUGGUUACAGUAACUAUACAUCCAGCAGUAGUCUGGGUGGUUACAGUAACAGUCUAUACAUCCAGCAGUAGUCUGGGUGGUUACAGUAACUAUACAUCCAGCAGUAGUCUGGGUGGUUACAGUAACUACACAUCCAGCAGUAGUCUGGGUGGUUA
This is a long non-coding RNA of Oncorhynchus tshawytscha (Chinook salmon), 1487 nucleotides long. The record is from Ensembl. Lineage: Eukaryota; Metazoa; Chordata; Actinopteri; Salmoniformes; Salmonidae.